RNAcentral lists this ribosomal RNA (258 nucleotides) under uncultured bacterium. Its description in RNAcentral is "partial 16S ribosomal RNA". It matches the Rfam family "Bacterial small subunit ribosomal RNA", at positions 793 to 1055 of the family's 1533-position model. The record is from RNAcentral.
GUCCACGCCGUAAACGAUGGAUACUAGCUGUUUGGUAGCAAUACUGAGUGGCUAAGCGAAAGUGAUAAGUAUCCCACCUGGGGAGUACGAACGCAAGUUUGAAACUCAAAGGAAUUGACGGGGGCCCGCACAAGCGGUGGAGCAUGUGGUUUAAUUCGAUGAUACGCGAGGAACCUUACCAGGGCUUAAAUGUGUUUUGACGGAUUUUGGAAACAGAUCUUUCGCAAGACAAAAUACAAGGUGCUGCAUGGUUGUCGU